Molecule: ribosomal RNA, 388 nt
Filed under: uncultured bacterium
Lineage: Bacteria
Description: bacterial SSU rRNA
Rfam family: Bacterial small subunit ribosomal RNA
Source: RNAcentral
GACGAACGCUGGCGGCGUGCUUAACACAUGCAAGUCGAGCGGUAAGGCCCUUUCGGGGGUACACGAGCGGCGAACGGGUGAGUAACACGUGGGUGACCUGCCCUCAGCUCUGGGAUAAGCCUGGGAAACCGGGUCUAAUACCGGAUAUGACUCCAUGACGCAUGUUGUGGGGUGAAAGCCUUGUGCGGCUGAGGAUGGGCCCGCGGCCUAUCAGCUUGUUGGUGGGGUGAUGGCCUACCAAGGCGACGACGGGUAGCCGGCCUGAGAGGGCGACCGGCCACACUGGGACUGAGACACGGCCCAGACUCCUACGGGAGGCAGCAGGUGGGGAAUCUUGCGCAAUGGGCGAAAGCCUGGCGCAGCGACGCCGCGUGAGGGAUGACGGCCU